AUUUUAUUAAAUGGUCAUUUAAGACCCCUUUUCUUCUAUUUCCUUUCCCCAAACGUAGCCCCCAUUUUAGAUCAAAAGAAAUUCCAGCCAUUAAAAUCAAAUUUUUUAGGGUUUCCUUCACUUGACUGCCAAACCACCAUGAUUUUAGGUGAUUACCAGUAAGCGAGAUGUGCCCAAUCUUGCCGUUAAAGUAGCUUGACCAGAUCUAAAAGGAUUUGGCUCGGUUGUACAAUGGAGCGAGAGAUGUCUGAAGGAGGCCAUGUGAGGAACCACUCGUGGGAGCCCUAGCUCUGGCCUAUUCUGCACGUUCCAAGCUUCCAGUCUUCUUGAGAUUUUUUGGGUGUUUGGGCCUUUGGGUUAGGGAUCUUGCUUUGGGCUUUUAUUUUUGUAAAAAACUUGGACUUUUUAAUUAAUUGAUUUUGCUUUAAUUUUUAGAUAACAUUAUGGGCCCGGGUGAAAUGGGCCUAUUACAGCAUGCAUACAAACAAACAACAGAAUACAGAUAUUUCGGCCUUAGCCAUACAGA
Gossypium arboreum is the source of this 526-nucleotide long non-coding RNA. RefSeq lists it as uncharacterized. Lineage: Eukaryota; Viridiplantae; Streptophyta; Magnoliopsida; Malvales; Malvaceae. The record is from RefSeq and is a predicted model, not a curated record. The transcript has 2 exons.